GCACCCUUAUAUUUGACGUUUCUUGCUGCAGCAUAAAUUUACAUACGGAUAUGCGUGCGUUUGUGUGAGUGUCAAUAAUAUGAGUAAAGAAACAGAUGAUCGUUGUAAUGUUGUAUUUGUUGUUUGUUUACUAAGUACAUAAGCGAUGUAAAGUCUCCAUCAUGGAAUAUGUGUAGUUUGUUGCGCUAUUAAGUCAAGUUAUCCGUUUAUGUUCUCCGGAGGAGAUUGAAUUUGUAGUGAUACUUACCGACUCUUGCUCAUCACCAGAGGCGAAGCUAGGGAGUGUUUGGGAAAGUGGAAAACUAAAUUGU
Molecule: long non-coding RNA, 311 nt
Organism: Armigeres subalbatus
Lineage: Eukaryota; Metazoa; Arthropoda; Insecta; Diptera; Culicidae
Exons: 3
Source: RefSeq, a predicted model, not a curated record